CGGGGUGAGUAACGCGUGGGUAACCUGCCUCAUACAGGGGGAUAACAGUUAGAAAUGACUGCUAAUACCGCAUAAGCACACAGUACCGCAUGGUACAGUGUGAAAAACUCCGGUGGUAUGAGAUGGACCUGCGUCUGAUUAGCUAGUUGGCGGGGUAACGGCCCACCAAGGCGACGAUCAGUAGCCGACCUGAGAGGGUGACCGGCCACAUUGGGACUGAGACACGGCCCAA
Molecule: ribosomal RNA, 232 nt
Filed under: uncultured bacterium
Lineage: Bacteria
Description: partial 16S ribosomal RNA
Rfam family: Bacterial small subunit ribosomal RNA
Source: RNAcentral